AAACAGCAUUUCACUGCAUUUCACACAAAGACUAAUAGACCUAGUGUCAGAGAAGAAAAUUCUAUAGAAUCCAAAAAGAAUUUUCUAUGGAAUGGAAGAAAAGGCCAACUGAGUGAAAUCAUGACUAGGUGUAGUAUAUGAGAACCAUGUCUGAGACAUUAGCAAUGGUCUGAGAAAACAAGGGAAGACAGACAGUUUGAAGCUGUUAAUGAGAAACAGCAAGCUACCCCUAUUAUUAUCCACUUGCUAUAUUCUCCAUCUAAUUAAAGACUAAGAAGAGAACCAUAUAAUUUGAAGUUCAUAAAGACAGCAAUCAACAAGCUGGCUGACUUAUAGAUUAAGAACUGUUCUGUGGUAAUUGCGCAGUCCAGCAUGGCUACUCAUGCUGAUUUGUCAUUAUUCCCCUUUCAAAAUCAAGAACAUCAACUUGCAGAUUAUCUGAUUUUGUUGAAACUGUGAAACAUGCACUAAACCCACUCAUUCAGUGAACAUGCCAGAGAAUUGCAUUUCCUUGUCAGGUUGCAUUGCUUCAGUCUGUGUAGCACAUAUAAACUAACUUCCCUUCAUCAUUUUAACCCUUGCCAAGUCAAGUCCAUUAUGAUUUUUUGAUGCACCUCAUAUUCAGGAAUUGAUUCACUUCCUCUUUCCAUCUGUAAAAGGAGAAGUCCUCUGCAAGCAACACUGACUUUGGGGAUAGGUGACUGUGUAGAAUUUCUGCAGUGUCAGCAAGUAUUUUCCUCAUUCUUUGUAGGAUCUGUAAGACUGCACAGCUCCCUGCACAGAAAACAGUAUGUUUCUCAUAAAGGAAUAUAUAUUUUCUUGAUGUCAAUUAAAUAUAGGGUGCUUUGAAGAUUGUCCAACAAGCAUGGAAAAUAAACAGCAAACUGAAUCUGAAUACCAGAUUGAAUCACGUUUGAAAGUGUGUGUGCAGUUGCAGGAAUUUUUGAAAUAGCUUUCACUUCAACUUUUGAGAAGAGGCAUUUUUGUGAGUGGUGUCUAUGUAAUUCAUACACAUGGAAGUGAAGAACUGUAGUUGUGCUGUGUAUGCUCAGAAAAAUUACAGCAGAACAAAACUCUCCUAAUGGAAUAUAUCUGCUUCUGAAAUUUUGGGUUCCAGUGUGACAAAGGCGUGCUUAUAACCAAAAUAAACAUCAUCUUGUGCAGAGAGCUUUUCCCUUUGAACUUGUGUGAGUUGACUAAAGCUUUGUUACAAGUCUCUCUGGAGAGGACUGACACUCAGGUUGCUGACAGAAGAACUCUGCAGAUAGCUCAAGGGGAUUUCUGCACCACUUCAUCUGCAGCUAUGAUCGGGUUUUUAAAGUUCUCCUUGAAGAUGGGCUGUAACAGUUUGAAAGGCAAACAAUUCCGGAAACUUCUGUGGAAGAGAGGUGGGGGAACCCAAACACCCUGCCCCUGCCCUGCCCCAAAGAAACUCCCAACCGCUAAUGACUUGUCUAGAGGACAAAAGGUGAAGUAUUACAAUCAAGCUCUAAAUAUACACUGAAAACAUUACUUGGAGCUUUGGUGAAAAAUCAUGUAAGGUGAGAUUUUACAUUGCAUGUGUUCUGGGAUAGUACUGUCACUGCAGAAGGAAGAGCAUAGCUUCAGCUGUGCUUUCUGUUGAGAAAUUUGGACAGCAAAAACAGAAAAAAGAAGGGAUUUGGAAAAAUACUUGUAAAGAUUGGUCAGAACUGUGUACAAAUGACAGGUCCUGAGUUGUAAAGUGGGACUCCUUCAUGCACAAAAGGUAGUUCAGUGGUCAUCUCUUAAGGAAUUUUAAAUUCUUUUGACAUGCCUGCUGAAAAUGCCAAUUUAAUCUCCCCCCCCCCCCCUUUUUUUAAUUUUACAUUUUAUAUAACUCUGCCAAAUCCAUUUAAAAUUAUUUUAUGGUUUUACCCCAAACUCAUCAAAUAUAUGUUCACAGCUUUUUUUUUUUUGAAAUUACUCCCAAAUUUUCUAUUCUUUCUCUCUAUCUCCCACCGUCCCCCAAUUUGUUCAUGAAUAAUACCAUAAUGUCAUGUAUUGGAUAAUUUAUGUUCUCUGAGAGGUUUCGUUGUACAAUAAUAACCCAGGUUAUCCAUAGGCCCCAGAUUAUCAAUCGCAGUACAAAUGGCUAUGCUUCAGAAAAGUUAUUACCAGCUAAACAAACGAGCUUUAUCAUCUACAGCUACUAAACUACUAGAGUACCCUUAUGCAUGACUAGCCCUGAGUUCUGAUUAUUAACUUCAGUGUUGGUAAGACGCAUGCCAAGUUAAAAUUAACCACAAGUUAAGGAGGAAAUGCUUAAGCCUAGGUCCUAACGUACUGUUAGUUUAGCUGUGGCUAAUAUAGUUGCAUGUCAGAGAUGCGGAUUGAUUCUAGCUCCUUCUUACAGUCAGUUCUACUCUAGGAAGUCUGUGCUGUGAUCUGAAGAACAGAUACAACUCUAUGCAUUCCUGCUCUUUUCAUGCCAAAAUGAUUCACAGACAUACACCUUCCAUAAAAAGGCAAGAUUUCCCCCUUACUAUCUAGUUCCCUUACAAUCUAGUUGAAAAUCAGGACUUCUCUUCCUUCUCUUAGUGGGCAGUCUCCUGUCCAAUUCACACAAAGUGGGAGUAUUAUUUUUGUUACCUGUCUGCAGCUGAUACUGAAAUGGAGAUGCUAGCUUUCCUCUGCUUUCAGUUGUGCCAUGCAUAAGAUUUUCCCUAGCUUUACACAGAAUGAAGAUGCUGGGCCCAUGAAGAGAAAGAGUUUGGAUGGGGAAAUUUGGAGGAAGGAGAUUAGGUGUCAGUAGAGAUGAAAGCCCAGGUGUAAGUAAUAGGUGAGGAGGUGAUGAACUGAGUGGCUAAGGAAGAUUGAAACUGUGCAGAAACACAAAGAACAGGAACUGAGAAGCAAUGAUACAAAGCAGUUUUUUAUAAGGAAGAGAAAUGGGCCUGUGCCCACCAUAAAAUUUGAUUUUCCUGAGCCCAGAACAGAACCAAAGAUUCUCGGAUUUCUCCAUGUCUGUGCUUGUUAAUAAAUUGCUGGGAAGUCCAGUGAUUCUCCUACGGAACUCUGAUUUUCAUCUAUGUUAGUGAAAGUAUGAGAUAUUUCAUAGCUGUAGAAAACUGCAGUAGAAACUGUGAGGGAUUCAAAGAUUUCAGCACUGCCUAUUACUUAUAUCAGUGGCUUGGAUCAGGCUACAUAAUGGAAUUUCUGUUUAGGGUGGUGUAGGGUUUUUUCCCCCUAAAAGUUAGAAAGCAAUUUUGCUUGUAGGUAUUUUGGAUAUAUCUCUUGGUGUCAUCCCAGGCAUUUUAUAAUCCUAUGAACACUUCAGUUCCCAAUAAAGUACUACUCUACUUUAAAACAAUAUCUCGGUUUCUCAUAAAGUGCCUGAACUUGUUAUUCUGUGUAGUAUGUUUUUGUCACAGUGUUACCAAGUUUCCCUUUUGAGAGAAGAGGAGGAAAACAAAAUAAAACUUCCUCAGGGAGAUGGGAGCCAUCUGCCCCUGUUCCAAAGAAGACCAAGGGGAUUUCACCAGUUUUCUGUUUUAUUAACCAAUGACAGAUUGUGCUAAGUCAGGCACCCAGUAAUUUAAGAAAUGCCAGUGUUUCUGAUUCAUAAAGCUUUCUGAAAAGUGAAUGAAUAUCUGCUGGUCCAUAUGAUUUUUGAUAACAAGUUCAGUGGGUCUUUCCAAAGGAAACCAUAUGGGUGUUUUAGCUGAUCAGCUAUGAAUCAAAAAUAAACAUUUGGGCAGCACAUUUUAAAGGCAGUAUGCACAAAUUAAUAUGGAGAUAAUUAUUGCUCAUUACUAGACCUUGCCAAGAAUGGAAUUUUAUGUUUUGGGAGAAAAUCUGUAUUUUGUGCAGUUUUCAAAAACUGAAUAAAACAAUGCAUUUUACAGAAUGAAAUAAA
This is a long non-coding RNA of Aquila chrysaetos chrysaetos, 3877 nucleotides long. RefSeq lists it as uncharacterized. The record is from RefSeq and is a predicted model, not a curated record. The transcript has 6 exons. NCBI's taxonomy places the organism in Eukaryota, Metazoa, Chordata, Aves, Accipitriformes, Accipitridae.